This 1242-nucleotide ribosomal RNA is filed under the name metagenome. RNAcentral's name for it is "bacterial LSU rRNA". It matches the Rfam family "Bacterial large subunit ribosomal RNA", at positions 1564 to 2816 of the family's 2925-position model. The record is from RNAcentral.
UGAAUACGAGACGCUAAGGCGUCGAAGUAGUGUAUGUCAUACUUCCAAGAAAAGCUUGCACUGUCAUAGAUAAAAAACGCCUGUACCAUAACCGACACAGGUGGGUAGGUAGAGUAUACUAAGGGGCGCGAGAUAACUCUCUCUAAGGAACUCGGCAAAAUGACUCCGUAACUUCGGGAGAAGGAGUGCCUUAUUCUUAAGGUUGCAAUAACAAGAUCCAAGCAACUGUUUAUCAAAAACACAGGUCUCCGCUAAGUCGUAAGACGAUGUAUGGGGGCUGACGCCUGCCCAGUGCCAGAAGGUUAAAGAAGUUGGUUAGCAUUUGCGAAGCUGAUAACUGAAGCCCUGGUGAACGGCGGCCGUAACUAUAACGGUCCUAAGGUAGCGAAAUUCCUUGUCGGGUAAGUUCCGACCCGCACGAAAGGCGUAAUGAUUUGGAUACUGUCUCGGAGAGGGGCUCGGUGAAAUAGACUUGUCUGUGAAGAUGCGGACUACCUGCACCAGGACAGAAAGACCCUAUGAAGCUUUACUGUAACUUGAAAUUGAAAUUGGACUUUAUUCGCGCAGUAUAGGUGGGAGGCGUUGAUUAUAAUCUUGCGGGAUUAUUGGAGCCAUCAGUGAGAUACCACCCUUGUAAUGUUAGAUUUCUAACUUUGAAUCAUUAUCUGGUCAAAGAACAGUUUCAGGCGGGCAGUUUGACUGGGGCGGUCGCCUCCUAAACGGUAACGGAGGCGUACAAAGGUUUCCUCUGAACGGUUAGAAAUCGUAUCUAGAGUGUAAAGGCAUAAGGAAGCUUGACUGUGAGACCUACAAGUCGAGCAGGGACGAAAGUCGGUCUUAGUGAUCUGACGGUACUGAGUGGAAAGGCCGUCACUCAACGGAUAAAAGUUACUCUAGGAUAACAGGCUGAUCUCCCCCAAGAGUUCACAUCGACGGGGAGGUUUGGCACCUCGAUGUCGGCUCAUCGCAUCCUGGGGCGGUAGUACGUCCCAAGGGUUGGGCUGUUCGCCCAUGAAAGCGGUACGCGAGCUGGGUUCAGAACGUCGUGAGACAGUUCGGUCCAUAUCCGGUGUAGGCGUUAGAAUAUUGAGAGGAGCCUUCUUUAGUACGAGAGGACCGAGAAGGACAUACCUCUGGUGUACCAGUUAUCGUGCCAACGGUAAACGCUGGGUAGCUAUGUAUGGAGUGGAUAACCGCUGAAAGCAUCUAAGUGGGAAGCCCACCUCAAGAUAAGUAUUCUCA